RNAcentral lists this ribosomal RNA (831 nucleotides) under uncultured archaeon. RNAcentral describes it as "bacterial SSU rRNA". It matches the Rfam family "Archaeal small subunit ribosomal RNA", at positions 21 to 859 of the family's 1478-position model. The record is from RNAcentral.
GGUUACUGCUAUCGAGGUUCGACUAAGCCAUGCGAGUCGAAUGUAGCAAUACAUGGCGUACUGCUCAGUAACACGUGGACAACCUACCCUUAGGCCUGGGAUAACCCCGGGAAACUGGGAAUAAUACCGGAUAUCUCGCGAAUGCUGGAAUGCGUCGCGAUAGAAAGCUCCGGCGCCUAAGGAUGGGUCUGCGGCCUAUCAGGUAGUAGUGGGUGUAAUGUACCUACUAGCCUACGACGGGUACGGGUUGUGAGAGCAAGAGCCCGGAGAUGGAUUCUGAGACACGAAUCCAGGCCCUACGGGGUGCAGCAGGCGCGAAAACUUUACAAUGCCGGCAACGGCGAUAAGGGGACCUCGAGUGCCAGGAUACAAUCCUGGCUGUCGUAAUGCCUAAAAAGCAUUGCAUACAAGGGCCGGGCAAGACCGGUGCCAGCCGCCGCGGUAACACCGGCGGCUCGAGUGGUAACCGCUAUUAUUGGGUCUAAAGGGUCUGUAGCCGGCUGACUAAGUCUCUUGGGAAAUCUGGCAGCUCAACUGUCAGGCUUUCAGGAGAUACUGAUCGGCUCGAGACCGGGAGAGGUGAGAGGUACCUCAGGGGUAGGGGUGAAAUCUUGUAAUCCUUGAGGGACCACCAGUGGCGAAGGCGUCUCACCAGAACGGAUCUGACGGCAAGGGACGAAAGCUAGGGGCACGAACCGGAUUAGAUACCCGGGUAGUCCUAGCCGUAAACGAUACUCGCUAGGUGUCGGCCACGGUGCGACCGUGGUCGGUGCCGUAGGGAAGCCGUGAAGCGAGCCACCUGGGAAGUACGGCCGCAAGGCUGAAACUUAA